GACGAACGCUGGCGGCGUGCCUAACACAUGCAAGUCGAACGGGAAGGCCCGCCAUUUGUGGUGUACUCGAGUGGGGAACAGGAAAAUAAAGCUUAUGUACCCUACACUCUAGUUUAGCAUACCGUCAGGAAACCGGAGCCAAGACCGGACAACAGCUCCCGCUGCUGGGUUUUGGUUGGAAAGGUUCGGCGGUUGAGGAUGGAGUUGCGGGUUAUCAGUUCGUUGGUGAGGUAGUGGCUUACGAUGGAUUUGACGGGUAGCCGGACUGAGAGGGUGACCGGCCACAUAGGGACUGAGGUAGGAGCAAGACUGCUACGGGAGGCAGGAGUGGGAAAUAUUGCAAAAUAGGCGGAAGCCUGAUGCAGCGACGCCGCGUGGGGGAUGACGGCCGUCGGGUUGGAAACCGCUUUGGCCUGAGACGAAGAGUGAGUGACGGUAAUGGGUAAAGAAGCACCGGCUAACUCCGUG
RNAcentral lists this ribosomal RNA (468 nucleotides) under uncultured bacterium. RNAcentral describes it as "partial 16S ribosomal RNA". It matches the Rfam family "Bacterial small subunit ribosomal RNA", at positions 28 to 507 of the family's 1533-position model. The record is from RNAcentral.